UCCUUCCCCACCCGCCCCGCCAUCAGCGCCCCAUUUUGCUCGGACGACAACGCGCCACCACCAAUCAACGCCCGUGGAUCCUCGUCAAUCAACGCCCGCGGACCCUCCUCCCCACCGCCGCCGCCUGUCCAAAUCUGUCGCGGAUCCGCACAAUGGAAGGUCGUCUGUACCGCGCCCGCACCGUCCAAAUCUGUCGCAGAUCUCCUCUCCCCAUUACUGGGAGGUCUGCCAUUCAUGGAAGGUGCGCCAUCUACUCCUCUGCCCGCCAUCCAUGGAAUUCUUGUACCACGUUGUGGAUCCGCGCAAUGGAAGGUCGUCUGUACCGCGCCCGCGUCGUCCAAAUCUGCUACGGAUCUCUUCUCCCCAUUACUGGAAGGUCCGCCAUGCAUGGAAGGUGCACCAUCUACUCCUCUGCCCGCCAUCCAUGGAAUUCUUGUACCUCGCAAUGGAUCUGCACAAUGGAAGGUUGUCUAUACCGCCCGCUGCCCACCCCUACCGGAAAUCCCAUCCCGCCCCACCCCACCGGCAGAGACAAUGCACGAUGCCUCCCUCCAAAGCCAUCAACCUCCCCUCCCCCUUGCACCGCACCACACACACACCCCUGCACCAACGCCAUUUUCGUGCCUGGAUAGAUCGUAGAUCUACGAGGUAGCAUCGAAUGGCUCUCCCGUAGGAAGGGUAGAGCCUCCGUGUGGUGGCCUCCAGAUCGCAACUCCGGUUCUUCUUCCCACCCCGCGGUGAGACCAGCCCCAGCCCCUUUCUUCUCCCUCUCUAUCCAUCCUCGACCCCUCUCUCAUAAUAAGGAAGGAUAGAGCUCAACCAAGGCGCUCCCCUCAGCAGGCGCAUCGACGGACCGAAUUUUGGCGAAGAGAACGCUUGGAGCGCCUCUAUCCCCUCCACGAUGGAGGCCAGGUACACAGCAACCGUGCCAGGGAACAACACCGUUUUGAUGUCGUUUUGGAGGUGAGGAUCUACGCCCUCGUGGCAUGCUUGGUGGCCGGACUUGCCCUCACCUCUAUCCCCUCUAGGCCUCUGUGAUGGAGGCUGGGUACUCAGCGGCCAUGGCCCAAUUCGCCGCUCUCGUGACCGGGGACGCCGAUGUACUAAGGGUGGUUGUGGGUUGAUCUCUGCAACACCAACAUCAUGCUCGCCUCUUCUCCGUCUCUGUCCCCCCGCGUCUACCGUGCUCCUCGCCCCUCCUAAUGUCGUCCUCUCCAUCUAGCGCCACAGCCGAUGCACGCCUCCGGGCUCACGCCGUGCCCCGCGUCUACCGUGCUCCUCUCCCCUCCUAAUGUCGUCCUCUCCAUCUAGCGCCACAGCCGAUGCACGCCUCCGGGCUCACGCCGCGCCAAGCCCGUGGGGAGGCGGAUCUCGCCCACAGGCCGCAGAUCUCCUUCCAAACUAAGAGGCAACAGAUAGGCGGCCCCCUUCCACAAAGGACACAAUUUCACCCCUUCCAUAUUUGGCGGCCAUGGCAUGCACUACGCCCCCUUCCUCGCCCUCAUUCCAAAUUCAGCCCACAACUGCGCAUGCACCCACCUCAAUGGACUGCUAUUGUCUGCAUCGGAAGUGCUAUUGUUCUGGUUGGUUGGAACAUGAGGAGGUGCGCAAAGGUAGUGGUGAGUUCGCUGUUCAUUUUUUUGUAGUAGGUCAAAGGGCCGCUGUGGCUGGAUUUCGAAGUCGCAUCACUGAACUACUAGGUGCACAAGGGCAUUUCCUAAAAUCUGCGAGAUCAGGUUUUUUCCCUCUUCUGUAUUGAGUGCUUGCCCAUCGGUCAGAUUGGUUCAAGCACAUCUAAUUUGGUCUCGGUCUCUUGGAGGAGUAUACUGGCACAAAUUUCAUGCCCUUUUGCUCCUCUACUUUUUCUUGAAAAUGUGGCUUGAUUAUGUCAGAGUGGUUCUAGAUUUGUUCAUUGGACAAGAUUGGCCUGGUUUUCUAAAAUGACCCCAUGAUUUUAAGUGUCAAGAUCUUCAAUGCUUUUGUAUUUGAGUCAAGUAAUUGCCCUGAAUCUCUUCUGUAUUUGGUCAUGGAUUGGAUCCUGUAAUGUUUAUAGUGUUCCAUUUUGAUGAUCCAAGCCACCAAUGGAGUAAAAACUGGAGUAUUUUUUCCAAAUUGGUUAUACGUGUCAGUUUUUUUGUUUCUGUGCUGAGAUGCUGGUGAACCCGUAGGUGCCUGAGUCAUUUUGGGGCAUUCUAAUCGUAGAGCUCUGUUGGGGUGAAUCCAGUGAUGUGAGUACCUUUUAAACUAUCAUGGUAUGAUUUAUAUUCUCUAUUGACAACUCACAUUUUUUGUGCUAUUUUGCUUGAUGCUUGGAACAAUCUGUUGUUUGGUUUAUAUAUUGUAUACAUUCAUGUGUUAUUCUGCUAGAUGCUUGGAAGAAGCCAUCUAUGGUAUUGUUUGAAAUGAUUUGAGCAUUUAAUCCCUUAUAUUUGAAUAGAUGGCAUAAUUGGAGACUCUGUCCAUAUAACUUGGCGAUGUUCUGUAUUUACUACAAGCACCAUUAUAGGAUAAUAGUGUUCUUCCAUAGUCCCUUGCAUCAGUUGGGCUUUAAUUUCAAUAGUCUUGCAUCGGUUGGUAUUUAAUAGUCUUGCAUCGGUUGGGCUUUUUCUGAAGUGCUAAUAGUGUUCUUCCAUAGUCCCUUGUCCUUAUGUCCUUUGUGGAAGGUCGAGGAUAUUUUAGGUUCAAACCAUGUAUAAUUUCAUUUCUGCUCCAAUUAGGUGGCUACAACUUACCUGCAUAGACAAAAUAUAAGUAUGUGCAAUAAUCUAGCUAGCAGAGUCGAUCUUCCCUACGCUAUAGAGCAUGUAAAUUACUAAUAAUUUGUCUAACAAAAACUGACCCAAUCCUAGAAUUAGGGAUGGCAAACAGUAGGACUAGAAUUCAGCUGCAAAAUGCCAGGGACCAUAUAAGUCAGGUAAUAACUAUCAGGAAAGUGAAGCUAUCAAUUUCUAGCUGCACACUAUAUAGCUGACCAGUGCAUUUUGAUUGUUUAGUUCACUAGCAUAUUCAUCCAUUGAGGUGGUUCUUUUUUUCCUUUUCCUUUUGAGGAGCUGACUGCUUGUCCGAGAAAGUGUUUAUUAGGAUCGUUUUGCACUAGAAGGUUCAAAUAAUGUUUGGUUAAAAAAUGUCAUCUGUUAUAGGAUAGAGGCUAUAAAUAUAAGAUAGAAUAUACCCGUUCUUUAGUACAAUGUGGCUGCAUUUAUUUUAGCUGCUCAGAUUUGCCACUCUUGGAGCUUCUAGGGGUUGUCGUUGUGUCUCCUCCCAUGAUGAGCUUGAUGUUGUCUGUGUUGCCGUCACCAACCUCUCUUUUGUCAGUGUCACCACUGGUAGUUCUCAAACACAAUUUCACCUCCUUAGUUGUAACUUGCUCCAUGUAUUUUCAUCUGUUCAAUUUUCUAUAUGAAAGUUCUUGGUGGCUUGCAAGUAAUAUGCCUUCAUCUAGCAUGCCUAACAACAUAAAUAUUUUUUAGUUGACAUGAGUAUGAGUGCACUAACAUUGUAAUCGUCUGCACUAAUCUUCAAUUUCUGACUUUUUAUGCUUUAGGAUUCCCUCUUCUUGGACCUACUGAAAUAGGUCAAGGUGGUUUUUCUAGAACAACAUUUAAUCUUGCCAUCAGUGAGAUUUGGACACCUUACAAAGGAUAAGGAUUACGAGGAUCCACCAGACUCUGCAUCGGCGUGCCCGCGCGCUAGAUGGCCAUUGAGGAGACACUACCGAUGGAGGCGCCAUCUUUGGUAGCUGAGGACAAAUUAAAUUUUGCCUUCCUAUGAAGUUUCUACCUUUUCCAAAUUUAAAGUCAUUAAGAGGUUAGUGCCCUGUUCCAUCUUGGCAGAACCUGCCUUACAAUUUGAGCCCCACAUUUUGUUGAAGAAAUGCACAUGUGUGAAGCUUCAGUUCUGCUUCAGCUCUGCUUCAGUUAUGGUAAUCUGCAAAAGCUAUUUAGGGUCAAUCCUUGUUGCAGAUUAGGAUAUGAUCCUCCCUUUAAUUCAAGCCUGACAUCAACUGUAUUUUCUUGGCCGUCAUUCUAUUGAACAUCAUGUCUUGAUUUAUAGAGCCGAAAGUAAUAUCUCACUGCAUUUUUUUGUUUUAUAUUUUGAGAUAUUGAUGAUUUGGUCUGUAAUUCUGUGAUUUCAGGUGGGGUCUGAAACCAAAUAUUUAGCUAUUAUGAAUGCUUGUAUUGUUUCUUAUCUCAGAUUGGCUCUUUAUCACGUUUUAAAAGCAUAUGGCAGUAUUAGGAAGUUGGGCGUUUGAUUGGUUCCGCUGUGAGGAUUUGUACAUGCUUUCGACGCAUAAUUUUCUCUUUUUUCUACUUUUUUGUUUUUCUCUGGUUCUUUUUUCAUUUUACUUUGUUGGAUCUGAUUCUUUCCUCUAGAGUUCAGAACCAUUGCAUCACCUAGCAGGCUACAAUCGCAAAGUGAUCACUAGAUUGUUCGAUGACUAUUUAGUGACUGCUUCUCUUCCCAGAUUUAUGUGGUACUGGAUGGGAAUGGAUGUUUCUAAGAGUCUGUUAACCCUCCUCUUCAGUUCAAGAUUGUGAUGAUUUGUAGUACUGAAUUGGAGGCUUUUAUCCCAUGCAAUUUAUGUGGUACAAGUAAGGGUGUUGUGUGAGAAGGUGAAGGAGAUUCUAGUGGAGGAAAGAAAUGUUCAGGUUUUCUAUUUUGAUCACUUUGACUUAAUAUUAUCAGCAAUUCCAUUCUAUGAUCAUUUGAGAUAUCAUCUUGUUUGGGUUCGCUUAACAUUUCUUCAUGUCUAGCAUAAGUUUUGACCUGACCCAGUUAACAAUUAAAAAAUGGUCCAAAUCCUCAGCUGACAUUCCACGCGGCCUUGCACAAGCUAAAUGACACCUUAUAUUGCAUCUUCGUUCCCACACAUCAUCUUCAAGAUUUGAUGAAGGAUUCCUGAACCCACCUUUUCUUAAGUUUUUUUAAUAAAGCGUCAUAGUGGUGGGAACGAAACACAUUCUGAACCUUGUAUACAUGUAACAUACAUGUCAACAACAUGCUAAUGUGGAGUCUAAAUGCGCCAUGAUUUAAGUUGAAUCAGGAACAUUUCAUGUCAUACCUCUCAGUUAGCGAUUACUUGUAGCUUAUUUCCUGCUAGAGAGUUUGUAGCUUAUUUGUUCACAACACUAUUUGAAGAGUUCAGUGAAACAAACUCUAGGCAAGAGGUACCACUUGGCUUGGCUUCCAACAUUUCUGGUUAUCAUGAUUCACAUGCUCUAUAUAUGUUGAUGGCAUGGUAUAAUCUUUGCGAUUUCUAAAAUAUUCAAUCUUGUAACAGUUUCAGACACUUUGGUGGUUUAAGUGCAAAUACAUAACAAAAUGAAAUGUACUCUGUGUAUUAGUAUUGAAUGACGAUGUCAGGUCCAACAUAUAUAUGAACUAUACAUUAAAAAGGAUAUUAUUAAACUCAUAUUAUGUUUGUAUGAUGCUGGGAAUGUAGUACUUAUAGUAUGGGUACAAGAGUGUUGGAACUGAUGAUGAAGUGAUAUCGUCAACCGACUACAGUUGAGAAACUUAGUGUCAUCUGAUUUCUGGUCAUGACAUAGGUUAUGUUUAUAUCCCACAGAAGCAGAGAAGAAAGUCUCAUGGUAUGUUCUAUGUCUAGGUAGCAUAACCUUGAGACGGGUUUUGCGAUCUGAAUUUGAUUUCAGACUUUCAGUGAGUGGUAGCUUUUCUUUGUUUCUAGCAGAUGGCAAAAACCAUGGAAGGACGAGAUUUCUUAAGUGUCAAGCCAAAGAAAUUUAGUCAAUGAAUUUUCUUGCACAUGGAAUUGCUUAUCUCUAAUUGCAAAUUAUCUGUUCUAUUUUGUGUAUUUUAUCUGUUCACCAUUUUCUAAUAGUUCGUCCCUUCUUUUUUGUAGUUUGUGGGUAGAUGUGGAUCAUAAUCAGCUACUCUAUCUGUAAUAGUGUGAGUAUUUCCAACACCAACACCGACGAUCCAGAGCCCAGGGAAAGUAGCAAGAUUCUGAGCUCCUACAGUUAGACAUCCGCCAGACCCAGUCACGACGACUGAUGUUGAAAACUAGCAGCUCGCCUACUUCAGUUGAGUGCAAAGCUGCCAACAUCUGAUCCAUGCUUUUGGGUUCUUUGUAUCUGUAUCUAUCAAUUCAUUAAGUGCAGGACAAUCCACGUUUCUGCCACCAAAUGGGGCAUCUUUUCCCUGUGGUCCAGUUUUAACUUGAGAACAAUUGAACAAAUGUCCAAUGUGAUGUCUGAUUUCUCAACA
Zea mays is the source of this 6228-nucleotide long non-coding RNA. RefSeq lists it as uncharacterized. The record is from RefSeq and is a predicted model, not a curated record. Lineage: Eukaryota; Viridiplantae; Streptophyta; Magnoliopsida; Poales; Poaceae. The transcript has 3 exons.